CCCCCUUUCUCUCUAUUGCCAUCGCCGCUGCUUCCUUCCCCUCUUCUUCUGCGAAUCGAGGCCCUCCCCUUUCCAUUCUUUUGCCCCUGUAAGUGAACUCUCCCCUCAUUCCCAUCAAACACCAAAAUUACGAUCUUUCUGCCCUUCUCCUGAUUCAAAUUCCCCACCUUUAUAAACCCUCCACCCGCCAAAACCUCCGCUCGGUUUCAUCUCCUUCUCCUUCUUCAACCAGAUCGAAUUCUUCUUCUUUUUCUGUUUCCAACGGUCAAUUUCUCCCCUCGCUUGCAUUCCCCUUCGUAAAGUUGCAAUCUUGAUGCGUUUUGGAUCUCCGCGUCGCCUUGCCCAAAGAGUUUUAAGGUAGAAAUUCGUUUAUUUGAAUUGAUGAUUAAUGGAGAAACAUGAACUUGCGCUGGGACAGAACCCUGAAUUAGCUCUCGGCCAGAGCCAUGGUUUAGCGAUCAAUCACAGGCAUAGACUUGGCCUCACCCACGCACACGAUGAUGAUCUCGGCCUAACUCAGAGCCAUGAUCACAGCCUUGUUUUAGGGCAUCACCAUGAUAGCAGACUUGUUUUAGGGCACCACCAUCACGAUUCCCAUGAAGAAGACGAUGUUCGAGACCAUGAUUACAGCAGCGAGCUUGCACUUGGUUCAAACCACGUAGCUCAUCUUCUCACCACUCAUAACCAUGAGUUAGUCCUCUCCGACAACCACGAAUUAACUCUUGCCGAAACCCAUGAUCUCUCCGUCGAGCCCAACCUGGAGCAGCUUUCAGUCGAUCAUGGCCAUGAGCUCGCCCUCCAACCCGCUCUCGACAUCACCCAAUCUCAAUUGGUGGUCUCCCCAGUCUUACAGACUCGCAUCCUCGUCAACGCCAACCAUGAACUUCAUGUCGGACAAGAAUUCCCUGAUGUCAACAGUUGCAGAAGAGCUCUAAGAUGCGCAGCCAUCGCUUGCCAUUUCGAGAUCCAGACUGUUAAAUCCGACAAAACUCGAUUCACCGCAAAGUGCGCCGCAGAGGGAUGUCCAUGGAGGAUUCAUGCCGCAAGGCUCCCUGGUGUGCCCACCUUCACCAUCAGAACCAUCAAUGAGAAUCACAAUUGCGUUGGCAUCAACCAUCUCGGCCAUCAGCAAGCUUCUGUCCAGUGGGUUGCGAGUUCGGUCGAGGAGCGCCUCCGCGAGAAUCCGCAGUACAAGCCUAAAGAGAUACUGGAAGAGAUCCAUCGUGUUCAUGGAAUCACUUUGUCUUACAAACAAGCAUGGAGGGGGAAGGAGAGAAUCAUGUCUGCUGUUCGUGGAUCAUUCGAGGAAGGCUACCGUCUUCUUCCCGAGUACUGUGAACAGAUCAAACGCACAAAUCCAGGAAGCAUUGCAUUGGUCUAUGGAAACCAAGAAGAUAACUGCUUCAAGCGCCUGUUCAUCUCCUACUACGCUUCAAUCCAUGGUUUUGUGCAUGCCUGCCGGCCAUUAAUCGGCCUCGAUAGAACCCUUCUUAAAAGCAAGUAUCUUGGGACAUUGCUUUUAGCCACUGGAUUUGAUGGAGAUGGUGCUCUCUUCCCUCUUGCUUUCGGUAUUGUUGACGAGGAAAGUGAUGAUAACUGGAUCUGGUUCUUGUCUGAGCUUCAUUCUCUACUAGAGAACAACACAGAGAACAUGCCAAGGCUCACCAUUUUGUCAGACAGGCAAAAGGGUAUUGUUGAAGGAGUGGAUUUCAAUUUCCCAACAGCCUUCCAUGGCUUCUGUAUGCAUCAUCUUUCGGAGAGCUUCCGAAAAGAGUUCCCUCAUCAUCCAAACCUUGUCACUCUCUUGUGGGAAGCUGCUCAUGUCCUCACUGUGAUCGAUUUCGAAGCCAAGAUACUCGAGAUCGAAGAAAUCUCUCAGGAAGCCGCUUACUGGAUCAGAAGAAUCCCUCCGAGGUUGUGGGCGACCGCCUAUUUCGAUGGAACACGCUAUGGGCAUCUCACUGCAAACAUAGCAGAAUCACUCAACAGUUGGCUGUUAGAAGCCUCUGGCCUCCCCAUUGUUCAGAUGAUGGAGUGCAUAAGGAGGCAGUUGAUGACCUGGUUCAAUGAGAGGCGCGAGUUGAGCAUGCAGUGGUCCACCAUCUUAGUCCCCUCGGCAGAGCGGCGUGUUUCCGACGCUGUCGAACGGGCGCAGGGAUACCAAGUUGGACGGGCAAACGAGGCUGAGUUUGAAGUUGUCUCUCCCCAUGAGGGAAGCAACAUUGUAGACAUUCGAAAUCGAUGUUGUCUCUGUCGUGGAUGGCAACUUUAUGGCUUGCCUUGCGCUCAUGGCGUGGCAGCACUCGUCUUCUGCCGGCAGAAUGUCCAUAGGUAUGCUGAGAGCUGUUUCACCGUCGCCACGUAUCGAAAGACAUACUCGCAGACCAUUCAUCCAAUUCCUGAUAAAAGUUUAUGGAGGGAGCAGUUAGAAGCUGAGCAGGAUAAGCUGGAGAUUGUUAUAAACCCGCCGAAGUCCCUCCGGCCACCGGGAAGGCCGCGGAAGAAGAGGGUUCGCGCUGAGGACCGUGGUCGUGUGAAACGAGUUGUGCAUUGCAGCAGGUGCAAUCAAACUGGCCAUUUUAGAACAACUUGCGCUGCGCCUAUAUGAUGAAGUUGGAAUUUUUCAAAACAGUCCUGAUAUUUUUUGUAUUUUUAUUGCAUGAGGGGGCUUCCUUCUUCACUUGAUGCUAGAGAUGCGGGUGCGGGAUCAACCAAGCGGCCCGCGUCUUGAAUCCUCAUCGAUUUAUUUCAUCCCGUGCCCGUCUGUCCGUCUCCUCCCUCACUCGCUUGAUGCUCUGGGUAGAUCGAUUGCUCUUGCACAAUGAACAGAGAUGGCAGCCAUAGCUCGCACAUUUGCAUUGACUGCUUUCAGCCCUCUGAAGCCAUUAACGGAAGCCCCGAAGCUCUCAGCUUUCUCUUCUUCUUCUCAAUCUUUUAUGGACCAAAACUCACUCACGUGCGCUUAAUGGCGGUUUUAGUACUUCUUCUAUCUCAACUUUGGAUCAAAAAGAUGAGAACUUUGGGCUUUUGUAAUGUUACAGGUAUCUCAAAUCUUCGUUUUUUAGCUGGUUGUGGGGAA
Molecule: RNA transcript, 3079 nt
Organism: Phalaenopsis equestris
Lineage: Eukaryota; Viridiplantae; Streptophyta; Magnoliopsida; Asparagales; Orchidaceae
Exons: 3
Source: RefSeq, a predicted model, not a curated record